This 478-nucleotide ribosomal RNA is filed under the name uncultured bacterium. RNAcentral's name for it is "partial 16S ribosomal RNA". It matches the Rfam family "Bacterial small subunit ribosomal RNA", at positions 28 to 523 of the family's 1533-position model. The record is from RNAcentral.
GACGAACGCUGGCGGCGUGCUUAACACAUGCAAGUCGUACGGUAAGGCCCUUCGGGGUACACGAGUGGCGAACGGGUGAGUAACACGUGGGUGAUCUGCCCUGCACUUCGGGAUAAGCCUGGGAAACUGGGUCUAAUACCGGAUAGGACCACUGCCUGCAUGGGUGGUGGUGGAAAGCUUUUGCGGUGUGGGAUGGGCCCGCGGCCUAUCAGCUUGUUGGUGGGGUGAUGGCCUACCAAGGCGACGACGGGUAGCCGGCCUGAGAGGGUGACCGGCCACACUGGGACUGAGAUACGGCCCAGACUCCUACGGGAGGCAGCAGUGGGGAAUAUUGUACAAUGGGCGCAAGCCUGAUGCAGCGGCGCCGCGUGAGGGAUGACGGCCUUCGGGUUGUAAACCUCUUUCAGCACCGACGAAGCGCAAGUGACGGUAGGUGCAGAAGAAGGACCGGCCAACUACGUGCCAGCCGCCGCGGUAA